This 253-nucleotide ribosomal RNA is filed under the name uncultured bacterium. RNAcentral describes it as "partial 16S ribosomal RNA". It matches the Rfam family "Bacterial small subunit ribosomal RNA", at positions 524 to 776 of the family's 1533-position model. The record is from RNAcentral.
UACAGAGGGGGCAAGCGUUGUUCGGAAUUACUGGGCGUAAAGGGCGCGUAGGCGGCCGCCUAAGUCAGACGUGAAAUCCCUCGGCUCAACCGGGGAACUGCGUCCGAUACUGGAUGGCUUGAGUUUGGGAGAGGGACGCGGAAUUCCAGGUGUAGCGGUGAAAUGCGUAGAUAUCUGGAGGAACACCGGUGGCGAAGGCGGCGUCCUGGACCAAUACUGACACUGAUGAGCGAAAGCCAGGGGAGCAAACGGG